Molecule: long non-coding RNA, 205 nt
Filed under: Carica papaya (papaya)
Lineage: Eukaryota; Viridiplantae; Streptophyta; Magnoliopsida; Brassicales; Caricaceae
Description: long non-coding RNA (CPAP_LNC012869)
Source: RNAcentral
CUGUAUUAUAAAAUGGAAAAUGCGUGUAGAUACAAAUUUAUAUGGUAGAAAUUUACUGCAAUUGAGGGAGAAGUAAUCAUCACCCAUGAUGGACGAUGAUGAAUGCCACCACCUUAUCAUACACCGACGACCCAGAAGAUCAGAAGAGUCAAAGUCGCUUUGCCACGUUUACAAAUUCCAAACAUCAUAGUUUGUGUAGAUAUUU